Uranotaenia lowii is the source of this 515-nucleotide long non-coding RNA. RefSeq lists it as uncharacterized. The transcript has 3 exons. Lineage: Eukaryota; Metazoa; Arthropoda; Insecta; Diptera; Culicidae. The record is from RefSeq and is a predicted model, not a curated record.
GUUCAACAAUUCAGCUAUUCAAAAUCAGCGGUUUUACAACUUUUGAUAAGAAUAUUUGGAAAUUCAAUGAAUGCGUAGAGUCGGUGUGCUAGCUGUGGCUCUAGUCUAAAUACAAGAGGAACCGCAUCAGGAGCUUUUGCUGAAUGAUCUGCAAGAACAGACAACAUCAUCCGCGAUAGUUAUGUGGAAAAAAAGAAUCAGAUUUCGACGGUGGAAAAAUUUCAUACCUCAUCUGAUUGGCCGGGACAGACUUCUCGGAGACUGGCGGUGGUUCUAGGAAUGGAACCACUUUGCUUUGCCAUGGUAUAGAUUCUUUUUAAAGAAAUGAUUUAAGAGCACUUCCCGUUGUUCAGCGAAUGUUCCGAUUGAAAAGCUGCGAUUAGAAACCACUGGAGGAACGGCUACUGGAUUUGGUGCUGUACAAUCACCGGGGAGGAGGCAGCCGCGCUUGCGAAAAUGAUUAUGACAUCGGUCCUUAUUCGCCCUGCAAUUGUUGCAUUUAGUGCAUCUUCAUU